GCAGCGCGGCAGGUGGAGCCAGGCGUCUCCCUGCGCCUAGCCAGGAACGCGCGAGGAAAGCGCCCUGCCCAACCCGAGACUGGCGGCCUCCUGGGGCUAGGCUGGAGAAAGCGCAGUGCCAGGAGUGGCCGCGGCCAGAGUCCACCGGGCAGGGGGCAGGGGCAGGGCCAGAGGACCUUGCGCUCCGGGCGCCGGGCGACACUCCAGCCCCGCGGGACCCGCCGCACAGCCUCCGAGGGUGCAGCGGCGUCUGGACACCCGGCCGGGGCCAAGAGGGAGCUUCCGGACGGGGAGGCGCCGCGAGCACUGGGCGGGCAGGGCGGGGCAGGGCAGGACGGCCGCCUCCACAAGUCCCACCCGGCACACCAGGGCCUCUGCGCUCUGCCCGGGACGCCUGCGGACCGGGCGCUCGCGGGCCGGGGCUGUAUGGGGCUCCCGCGCGGGCGGUUCUUUUGGCUGCUGCUCCUGCUCGCGGCUGCCUGCUCGGGGCUCCUCUUUGCCCUGUUCUUCUCGGCGGUGCAGCGGUACCCGGGGCCCGCGGCCGGAGCCAGGGACGCCACACCAUUUCAAGCAUUCUUUCGACCCAAAGCAUCAAAUUCUUGGACAAGAAAGGCCCAGGCCUGCCGACACCUGCUUCGCCUGGCCAUUCAGCGGGACCCCCACUUCCAUGGCCUGUUCAAUCUCUCCAUUCCAGUGCUGCUGUGGGGGGACCUCUUCACCCCAGAGCUCUGGGACCGCCUGAGCCAACACAAAGCUCCGUAUGGCUGGCGGGGGCUCUCUCGCCAAGCCAUCGCCUCCACCCUAAGCCUUCUGAAUGGCUCAGAGAGCACCAAGCUAUUUGCCCGGCCCAAGGAGCCCCCUCCAAAGUGUAUCCAGUGUGCCGUGGUGGGCAAUGGAGGCAUUCUGAAUGGGUCCCGUCAGGGCCCCAACAUCGAUGCCCAUGACUAUGUGUUCAGACUCAAUGGAGCUGUGAUCAAAGGCUUCGAGCGUGAUGUGGGCACCAAGACUUCUUUCUACGGUUUCACUGUGAACACGAUGAAGAACUCCCUCAUCUCCUACAGGAGCCUGGGCUUCUCCUCCGUGCCACAAGGACAGGACCUGCAAUAUAUCUUCAUCCCCUCAGACAUCCGCGACUAUGUGAUGCUGAGAUCGGCCAUUCUGGGCGUGCCCGUCCCUGAGGGCCUAGAUAAAGGGGACAGGCCUCACACCUAUUUCGGACCAGAAGCCUCUGCCAGUAAAUUCAAGCUGCUACAUCCGGACUUCAUCAGCUACCUGACAGAGAGGUUCUUGAAAUCAAAGUUGAUAAACACAAACUUUGGAGACCUAUAUAUGCCUAGUACUGGGGCUCUCAUGCUGCUGACAGCUUUGCACACUUGUGACCGGGUCAGUGCCUAUGGAUUCAUCACAAGCAACUACUGGAAAUUUUCUGACCACUACUUUGAGCGGAAAAAGAAGCCAUUGAUAUUCUACGCAAACCACGAUCUGUCCCUGGAGGCCGCCCUGUGGAGGGAUCUACACCAGGCUGGCAUCCUUCGGCUGUAUCAGCGCUGACACCAAGAGAUGACGUAGGUCUCACACUCCGUUGCCUGGGUUGGUCUCAAACUCCUGGCCUCAAGCAGCCCUCCUGUUUUUGGCCUCCCAAAGUGCUGGGAUUACAAAGAAGAAUGGAUCAUGGCAGAAGACAGCAAAUGAGCUGCUGCAUGCAACCUUCCUUUCUGAAAUAAUAGCAGCUGCCUAUACCAAGUGUUUACUCCGUGCCAGGUACUCUCGAAACACCUUUUGAUUCACUGUCUCAUCUGAUUCUCAUGACAGCCCUGUCAUUAUCCCCCCUACCCAACCACCCAUUUCGCAGCUGAGGAAGCCAAGGUACAGAAAUGUUAAAGGAAUUCACAGGUGAAGGCACUGAGACCUGAACUCAAUCCAGCCUAAAAGCCCAUGGUCUCAGCCACCAUGCCCUGUUUCCUACAAAAAUUACACUAUGACAGUGGAAUAUUUUUGCUUAACUCCAGAGAUUUUAAUUCAUCCCCCUAGAAAGCCCAUCAUGAAAACGUAGAGGAUUUUUUUCCUGAGAGUUCUUGGGACUGUGAAAUAGGGUCACAGAUCUUGUUCAGAUAUCUGGGAUCAUGCAGAUGACCAGGCAGAUGGAAGAAAAGUAAAAAUAUUAAAAUGAAACAUAAAACUGGGAUCACUGCAUUAAGUUUAACUUAGCUUUAACUUUCUGGAGGAGGAGAAACCUGACACAGACCCUAUGCAUUGAGAAUAGAUGACCUUGGAAUUGUGGAUCAUCUGUGCUCGCCAGCAGUGUCCAGGAAGAAAAGCAAUGCAUUUGACGUCCCUGCUUGAAAGAGUCACUGCCUCUAGAUUAUUACUCAAAAAUUGAUUUUUUUUAAAUAAAAAUAAAUGAAUUUGAAGAUGA
This is an RNA transcript of Callithrix jacchus (white-tufted-ear marmoset), 2416 nucleotides long. It is a transcript of the gene named ST6 N-acetylgalactosaminide alpha-2,6-sialyltransferase 2, with no coding region annotated. The record is from RefSeq and is a predicted model, not a curated record. Lineage: Eukaryota; Metazoa; Chordata; Mammalia; Primates; Cebidae.